This 200-nucleotide ribosomal RNA is filed under the name uncultured prokaryote. RNAcentral describes it as "partial 16S ribosomal RNA". It matches the Rfam family "Bacterial small subunit ribosomal RNA", at positions 1183 to 1382 of the family's 1533-position model. The record is from RNAcentral.
UGUCAAAUCAUCAUGCCCCUUAUGACCUGGGCUACACACGUACUACAAUGGCCGUUAACAACGGGACGCGAAGGAGCGAUCCGGAGCAAAUCCCCAAAAGCGGUCUCAGUUCAGAUCGCAGGCUGCAACUCGCCUGCGUGAAGUCGGAAUUGCUAGUAAUCGCGGAUCAGCAUGCCGCGGUGAAUACGUUCCCGGGCCUU